RNAcentral lists this ribosomal RNA (1587 nucleotides) under Triticum aestivum (bread wheat). RNAcentral's name for it is "partial small subunit ribosomal RNA". The record is from RNAcentral. Lineage: Eukaryota; Viridiplantae; Streptophyta; Magnoliopsida; Poales; Poaceae.
AUGAACCCAGACCCAGCUCCGUGUCUAUAUAACGUGUCGACCACCGAGCGAUGCCCAACGCCAUCCUGUGUGACGCCAUCACCGAGAGCGCGCGCAGCAGCCACUACACACAGUAUGGCUCCGCCGAUCUCCGCCGACGUCGUGGUGGAGGCCGCACCGGCGCCUGCGUCCAUGGCCGUGCUGAACCAAAUGGUUUGCGCGGGCGCGCCGGCGCCGAGCAUCACCGUCGUCUCCAAGCAGCUGGUUCUGCCGGAGGGCGCGCCGCCGGUCGGAGACCUCAGGCUGUCCGUCUCCGACAUGCCCAUGCUGUCGUGCCACUACAUUCAGAAGGGGCUCUUCUUCCCGCCCGCGGGCAUGCCGAACGCCCGCCUCGUGUCGUCGCUCGCGCUGUCGCUCUCCCGCGCGCUCGGCGUCUUCCCGGCGCUCGCGGGACGGCUCGUCACGCUCCCCGACGACCGCAUCGUCAUCCGGUGCGACGACGGCGCUGCCGUCGAGUUCUACCAUGCCGUGGCGCCCGCUCUGUCGCUCGCCGACUUCCUCGUGCGCGACGCCGACGUGCCCACCAGGCUGACGAAGGAUCUGUUCCCGAUGGACCGCACCGUCAGCUACGAAGGCCACCGCCGCCCGCUCACGUCGUUUCAGGUCACCGUGCUCGGCGACGGCGCUGUCUUCGUCGGCCUCGUCGCCAACCACGCCGUCGUGGACGGCACCUCAUUCUGGCACUUCUUCAACACGUGGGCUGGGCUGUGCCGUGGCGAGCCAGUCCAGCCGCCGGACUUCAGCCGCAACUUCUUCGGCGGCUCCACGGCUGUCCUCCGCUUCUCCGGACGCGACGGCCCCGCGGUGACGUUCGACGCAUCGGCGCCCCUCCGUGAGCGAGUCAUCAACUUCAGCGCCGCGUCGAUUCGCGGCCUGAAGGCGGCGGCCAACCGCUGCAGAAAAAGCAACGAAGACGACGAGGUUAAAGGCAAGCUCGUGCAUGAUCUGAAGGUCCAGGGAGGCUGCGGGGAGAUCUCCUCCUUCCAGUCGAUGUGCGCGCACAUGUGGAGGGCCGUGACGCGGGCGCGGCUGCAGCUGGCCGCCGACGCGACGACAACGUUCCGCAUGGCGGUGAACUGCCGGCACCGCCUGCGCCCGAAGAUCUCCCCGGUCUACUUCGGCAACGCGAUCCAGAGCGUGGCGACGACGGCGACGGUGGCGGAGCUGGCGUCCCACGACCUCGGGUGGGCGGCGGCCAGGCUGCACGCGACCGUGGUGGCGCACGAGGACGGCGCCAUCCGGAAGGCCGCGGCGGACUGGGAGGCGGCGCCCCGGUGCUUCCCGCUGGGGAACCCCGACGGCGCGGCGCUCACCAUGGGCAGCUCGCCGCGGUUCCCGAUGUACGACGGCAACGACUUCGGCUGGGGCAGGGCGCUCGCGGUGCGGAGCGGGCGGGCGAACAAGUUCGACGGCAAGAUGUCGGCGUUCCCGGGGCAGGCCGGGGACGGCAGCGUGGACGUGGAGGUGUGCCUCGCCCCGGACACCAUGGGCCGCCUCCUGUGCGACGACGAGUUCCUGCAGUUCGUGUCCCAUGCACCUUCACCUUGA